This 433-nucleotide ribosomal RNA is filed under the name uncultured bacterium. RNAcentral's name for it is "partial 16S ribosomal RNA". It matches the Rfam family "Bacterial small subunit ribosomal RNA", at positions 29 to 507 of the family's 1533-position model. The record is from RNAcentral.
AGCGAACGCUGGCGGCAGGCCUAACACAUGCAAGUCGAACGAACUCUUCGGAGUUAGUUGCGGACGGGUGAGUAACACGUGGGAACGUGCCUUUUGGUUCGGAAUAACUCAGGGAAACUUGUGCUAAUACCGAAUGUGCCCUUCGGGGGAAAGAUUUAUCGCCAUUAGAGCGGCCCGCGUCUGAUUAGCUAGUUGGUGAGGUAACGGCUCACCAAGGCGACGAUCAGUAGCUGGUCUGAGAGGAUGACCAGCCACACUGGGACUGAGACACGGCCCAGACUCCUACGGGAGGCAGCAGUGGGGAAUCUUGCGCAAUGGGCGAAAGCCUGACGCAGCCAUGCCGCGUGAAUGAUGAAGGUCUUAGGAUUGUAAAAUUCUUUCACCGGGGACGAUAAUGACGGUACCCGGAGAAGAAGCCCCGGCUAACUUCGUG